CCCGAGGGGCACCUACAGCCAGCCGCGUUUAUGAAGAAGGCCUUCGGGUUGUAAAGUACUUUCAGCGGGGAAGGAAGGGAGUAAAGUUAAUACCUUUGCUCAUUGACGUUACCCGCAGAAGAAGCACCGGCUAACUCCGUGCCAGCAGCCGCGGUAAUACGGAGGGUGCAAGCGUUAAUCGGAAUUACUGGGCGUAAAGCGCACGCAGGCGGUUUGUUAAGUCAGAUGUGAAAUCCCCGGGCUCAACCUGGGAACUGCAUCUGAUACUGGCAAGCUUGAGUCUCGUAGAGGGGGGUAGAAUUCCAGGUGUAGCGGUGAAAUGCGUAGAGAUCUGGAGGAAUACCGGUGGCGAAGGCGGCCCCCUGGACGAAGACUGACGCUCAGGUGCGAAAGCGUGGGGAGCAAACAGGAUUAGAUACCCCCGGUGAUU
This 430-nucleotide ribosomal RNA is filed under the name uncultured Escherichia sp. Its description in RNAcentral is "bacterial SSU rRNA". It matches the Rfam family "Bacterial small subunit ribosomal RNA", at positions 374 to 795 of the family's 1533-position model. The record is from RNAcentral. Lineage: Bacteria; Pseudomonadati; Pseudomonadota; Gammaproteobacteria; Enterobacterales; Enterobacteriaceae.